Xyrichtys novacula (pearly razorfish) is the source of this 11987-nucleotide non-coding RNA. The record is from the annotation of a GenBank genome assembly. NCBI's taxonomy places the organism in Eukaryota, Metazoa, Chordata, Actinopteri, Labriformes, Labridae.
AGUGUAUCAUCUCAGCCACUAUGUUUUCUGCUGUUGAGGCUAGAAGCACCUUUAUAGCUCAGUUGGUAGAGCAGAGGAGUGUAAGAAGUUCCUAGUAUGACACUCUGUGAUGCGAACAUCGCUGGUUCAACUCCCGCUCAAAGCACAAGAUUUCAUUGGUGUAUGCACUUUUCAAGCUUUUUCAUUGACCAUGUAGCUUUAAUUGUUGUGUUGGCAAAGUGUGACGUCUCAGCCACUAUGUUUUCUGCGGUUGUGUCAAUAAGCACCUUCAAAGCUCAGUUGGUAGAGCAGAAGACUGUAAGAAGUUCCUCAUAUAAAACGCUAUUAUGCGAACAUCGCUGGUUCAACUCCCGCUCAAAGCACCAGAUUUCAUUGGUGUAUGCACUUUUCAAGCUUUUUCAUUGACCAUGUAGCUUUAAUUGUUGUGUUGGCAAAGUGUGUCGUCUCAGCCGCUAUGUUUUCUGCGGUUGAGUCUAGAAGCACCUUCAUAGCUCAGUUGGUAGAGCAGAGGACUGUAAGAAGUUCCUAGUAUGAAACUCUGUGAUGCGAACAUCGCUGGUUCAACUCCUGCUCAAAGCACCAGUUUUUAUUGGUGUUUGCACUUUUCAAGCUUUUUCAUUGACCAUGUAGCUUUAAUUGUUUUGUUGGCAAAGUGUAUCGUAUCAGCCACUAUGUUUUCUGCGGUUGAGUCUACAAGCACCUUCAUAGCUCAGUUGUUAGAGCAGAGGACUGUAAGAAGUUCCUAGUAUGAAACUCUGUGAUGCGAACAUCGCUGGUUCAACUCCCGCUCAAAGCACCACAUUUCAUUGGUGUAUGCACUUUUCAAGCUUUUUCAUUGACCAUGUAGCUUUAAUUGUUGUGUUGGCAAAGUGUAUCGUCUCAGCCACUAUGUUUUCUGCUGUUGAGUCUAUAAGCACCUUCAUAGCUCAGUUGGUAGAGCAGAGGACUGUAAGAAGUUCCUAGUAUGAAACUCUGUGAUGCGAACAUCACUGGUUCAAUUCCCGCUCAAAGCACCAGAUUUCAUUGAUGUAUGCACUUUUCAAGCUUUUUCAUUGACCAUGUAGCUUUAAUUGUUGUGUUGGCAAAGUGUGUCGUCUCAGCCACUAUGUUUUCUGCGGUUUUGUCUUGAACGCACCUUCAUAGCUCCGUUGUUAGAGCAGAGGACUGUAAGAAGUUCCUCAUAUCAAACGCUGUGAUGAAUAUCGCUGGUUCAACCCCCGCUCAAAGCACCAGUUUUCAUUCGUGUAUGCACUUUUCAAGCUUUUUCAUUGACCAUGUAGCUUUAAUUGUUGUGUUGGCAAAGUGUGUCGUCUCAGCCACUAUGUUUUCUGCGGUUGUGUCAAUAAGCACCUUUAUAGCUCAGUUGCUAGAGCAGAGGACUGUAAGAAGUUCCUAGUAUGAAACUCUUUGAUGCGAACAUCUCUGGUUCAACUCCCGCUCAAAGCACAAGAUUUCAUUGGUGUAUGCACUUUUCAAGCUUUUUUCAUUGACCAUGUAGCUUUAAUUGUUGUGUUGGCAAAGUGUGACGUCUCAGCCACUAUGUUUUCUGCGGUUGUGUCAAUAAGCACCUUCAAAGCUCAGUUGGUAGAGCAGAAGACUGUAAGAAGGUCCUCAUAUAAAACGCUAUUAUGGGAACAUCGCUGGUUCAACUCCCGCUCAAAGCACCAGAUUUCAUUGGUGUUUGCACUUUUCAAGCUUUUUCAUUGACCAUGUAGCUUUAAUUGUUGUGUUGGCAAAGUGUAUCGUCUCAGCCACUAUGUUUUCUGCUGUUGAGGCUAGAAGCACCUUUAUAGCUCAGUUGGUAGAGCAGAGGAGUGUAAGAAGUUCCUAGUAUGACACUCUGUGAUGCGAACAUCGCUGGUUCAACUCCCGCUCAAAGCACAAGAUUUCAUUGGUGUAUGCACUUUUCAAGCUUUUUCAUUGACCAUGUAGCUUUAAUUGUUGUGUUGGCAAAGUGUGACGUCUCAGCCACUAUGUUUUCUGCGGUUGUGUCAAUAAGCACCUUCAAAGCUCAGUUGGUAGAGCAGAAGACUGUAAGAAGUUCCUCAUAUAAAACGCUAGUAUGCGAACAUCGCUGGUUCAACUCCCGCUCAAAGCACCAGAUUUCAUUGGUGUAUGCACUUUUCAAGCUUUUUCAUUGACCAUGUAGCUUUAAUUGUUGUGUUGGCAAAGUGUAUCGUAUCAGCCACUAUGUUUUCUGCGGUUGAGUCUACAAGCACCUUCAUAGCUCCGUUGUUAGAGCAGAGGACUGUAAGAAGUUCCUAGUAUGAAACUCUGUGAUGCGAACAUCGCUGGUUCAACUCCCGCUCAAAGCACCAGUUUUUAUUGGUGUUUGCACUUUUCAAGCUUUUUCAUUGACCAUGUAGCUUUAAUUGUUUUGUUGGCAAAGUGUAUCGUAUCAGCCACUAUGUUUUCUGCGGUUGAGUCUACAAGCACCUUCAUAGCUCCGUUGUUAGAGCAGAGGACUGUAAGAAGUUCCUAGUAUGAAACUCUGUGAUGCGAACAUCGCUGGUUCAACUCCCGCUCAAAGCACCAGAUUUCAUUGGUGUAUGCACUUUUCAAGCUUUUUCAUUGACCAUGUAGCUUUAAUUGUUGUGUUGGCAAAGUGUAUCGUCUCAGCCACUAUGUUUUCUGCUGUUGAGUCUAUAAGCACCUUCAUAGCUCAGUUGGUAGAGCAGAGGACUGUAAGAAGUUCCUAGUAUGAAACUCUGUGAUGCGAACAUCACUGGUUCAAUUCCCGCUCAAAGCACCAGAUUUCAUUGGUGUAUGCACUUUUCAAGCUUUUUCAUUGACCAUGUAGCUUUAAUUGUUGUGUUGGCAAAGUGUGUCGUCUCAGCCACUAUGUUUUCUGCGGUUUUGUCUUGAACGCACCUUCAUAGCUCCGUUGUUAGAGCAGAGGACUGUAAGAAGUUCCUCAUAUCAAACGCUGUGAUGAAUAUCGCUGGUUCAACCCCCGCUCAAAGCACCAGUUUUCAUUCGUGUAUGCACUUUUCAAGCUUUUUCAUUGACCAUGUAGCUUUAAUUGUUGUGUUGGCAAAGUGUGUCGUCUCAGCCACUAUGUUUUCUGCGGUUGUGUCUACAAGCACCUUCAUAGCUCCGUUGUUAGAGCAGAGCACUGUAAGAAGUUCCUAGUAUGAAACUCUGUGAUGCGAACAUCGCUGGUUCAACUCCUGCUCAAAGCACCAGAUUUCAUUGGUGUAUGCACUUUUCAAGCUUUUUUCAUUGACCAUGUAGCUUUAAUUGUUGUGUUGGCAAAGUGUGACGUCUCAGCCACUAUGUUUUCUGCGGUUGUGUCAAUAAGCACCUUCAAAGCUCAGUUGGUAGAGCAGAAGACUGUAAGAAGGUCCUCAUAUAAAACGCUAUUAUGCGAACAUCGCUGGUUCAACUCCCGCUCAAAGCACCAGAUUUAAUUGGUGUUUGCACUUUUCAAGCUAUUUCAUUGACCAUGUAGCUUUAAUUGUUGUGUUGGCAAAGUGUAUCGUCUCAGCCACUAUGUUUUCUGCUGUUGAGGCUAGAAGCACCUUUAUAGCUCAGUUGGUAGAGCAGAGGACUGUAAGAAGUUCCUAGUAUGACACUCUGUGAUGUGAACAUCGCUGGUUCAACUCCCGCUCAAAGCACAAGAUUUCAUUGGUGUAUGCACUUUUCAAGCUUUUUCAUUGACCAUGUAGCUUUAAUUGUUGUGUUGGCAAAGUGUGACGUCUCAGCCACUAUGUUUUCUGCGGUUGUGUCAAUAAGCACCUUCAAAGCUCAGUUGGUAGAGCAGAAGACUGUAAGAAGUUCCUCAUAUAAAAAGCUAUUAUGCGAACAUCGCUGGUUCAACUCCCGCUCAAAGCACCAGAUUUCAUUGGUGUAUGCACUUUUCAAGCUUUUUCAUUGACCAUGUAGCUUUAAUUGUUGUGUUGGCAAAGUGUGUCGUCUCAGCCACUAUGUUUUCUGCGGUUGAGUCUAGAAGCACCUUCAUAGCUCAGUUGGUAGAGCAGAGGACUGUAAGAAGUUCCUAGUAUGAAACUCUGUGAUGCGAACAUCGCUGGUUCAACUCCCGCUCAAAGCACCAGUUUUUAUUGGUGUUUGCACUUUUCAAGCUUUUUCAUUGACCAUGUAGCUUUAAUUGUUUUGUUGGCAAAGUGUAUCGUAUCAGCCACUAUGUUUUCUGCGGUUGAGUCUACAAGCACCUUCAUAGCUCCGUUGUUAGAGCAGAGGACUGUAAGAAGUUCCUAGUAUGAAACUCUGUGAUGCGAACAUCGCUGGUUCAACUCCCGCUCAAAGCACCAGAUUUCAUUGGUGUAUGCACUUUUCAAGCUUUUUCGUUGACCAUGUAGCUUUAAUUGUUGUGUUGGCAAAGUGUAUCGUCUCAGCCACUAUGUUUUCUGCUGUUGAGUCUAUAAGCACCUUCAUAGCUCAGUUGGUAGAGCAGAGGACUGUAAGAAGUUCCUAGUAUGAAACUCUGUGAUGCGAACAUCACUGGUUCAACUCCCGCUCAAAGCACCAGAUUUCAUUGGUGUAUGCACUUUUCAAGCUUUUUCAUUGACCAUGUAGCUUUAAUUGUUGUGUUGGCAAAGUGUAUCGUCUCAGCCACUAUGUUUUCUGCUGUUGAGUCUAUAAGCACCUUCAUAGCUCAGUUGGUAGAGCAGAGGACUGUAAGAAGUUCCUAGUAUGAAACUCUGUGAUGCGAACAUCACUGGUUCAAUUCCCGCUCAAAGCACCAGAUUUCAUUGGUGUAUGCACUUUUCAAGCUUUUUCAUUGACCAUGUAGCUUUAAUUGUUGUGUUGGCAAAGUGUGUCGUCUCAGCCACUAUGUUUUCUGCGGUUUUGUCUUGAACGCACCUUCAUAGCUCCGUUGUUAGAGCAGAGGACUGUAAGAAGUUCCUCAUAUCAAACGCUGUGAUGAAUAUCGCUGGUUCAACCCCCGCUCAAAGCACCAGUUUUCAUUCGUGUAUGCACUUUUCAAGCUUUUUCAUUGACCAUGUAGCUUUAAUUGUUGUGUUGGCAAAGUGUGUCGUCUCAGCCACUAUGUUUUCUGCGGUUGUGUCUACAAGCACCUUCAUAGCUCCGUUGUUAGAGCAGAGCACUGUAAGAAGUUCCUAGUAUGAAACUCUGUGAUGCGAACAUCGCUGGUUCAACUCCUGCUCAAAGCACCAGAUUUCAUUGGUGUAUGCACUUUUCAAGCUUUUUCAUUGACCAUGUAGCUUUAAUUGUUGUGUUGGCAAAGUGUGACGUCUCAGCCACUAUGUUUUCUGCGGUUGUGUCAAUAAGCACCUUCAAAGCUCAGUUGGUAGAGCAGAAGACUGUAAGAAGGUCCUCAUAUAAAACGCUAUUAUGCGAACAUCGCUGGUUCAACUCCCGCUCAAAGCACCAGAUUUAAUUGGUGUUUGCACUUUUCAAGCUUUUUCAUUGACCAUGUAGCUUUAAUUGUUGUGUUGGCAAAGUGUAUCGUCUCAGCCACUAUGUUUUCUGCUGUUGAGGCUAGAAGCACCUUUAUAGCUCAGUUGGUAGAGCAGAGGACUGUAAGAAGUUCCUAGUAUGACACUCUGUGAUGCGAACAUCGCUGGUUCAACUCCCGCUCAAAGCACAAGAUUUCAUUGGUGUAUGCACUUUUCAAGCUUUUUCAUUGACCAUGUAGCUUUAAUUGUUGUGUUGGCAAAGUGUGACGUCUCAGCCACUAUGUUUUCUGCGGUUGUGUCAAUAAGCACCUUCAAAGCUCAGUUGGUAGAGCAGAAGACUGUAAGAAGUUCCUCAUAUAAAAAGCUAUUAUGCGAACAUCGCUGGUUCAACUCCCGCUCAAAGCGCCAGAUUUCAUUGGUGUAUGCACUUUUCAAGCUUUUUCAUUGACCAUGUAGCUUUAAUUGUUGUGUUGGCAAAGUGUGUCGUCUCAGCCACUAUGUUUUCUGCGGUUGAGUCUAGAAGCACCUUCAUAGCUCAGUUGGUAGAGCAGAGGACUGUAAGAAGUUCCUAGUAUGAAACUCUGUGAUGCGAACAUCGCUGGUUCAACUCCCGCUCAAAGCACCAGUUUUUAUUGGUGUUUGCACUUUUCAAGCUUUUUCAUUGACCAUGUAGCUUUAAUUGUUUUGUUGGCAAAGUGUAUCGUAUCAGCCACUAUGUUUUCUGCGGUUGAGUCUACAAGCACCUUCAUAGCUCCGUUGUUAGAGCAGAGGACUGUAAGAAGUUCCUAGUAUGAAACUCUGUGAUGCGAACAUCGCUGGUUCAACUCCCGCUCAAAGCACCAGAUUUCAUUGGUGUAUGCACUUUUCAAGCUUUUUCGUUGACCAUGUAGCUUUAAUUGUUGUGUUGGCAAAGUGUAUCGUCUCAGCCACUAUGUUUUCUGCUGUUGAGUCUAUAAGCACCUUCAUAGCUCAGUUGGUAGAGCAGAGGACUGUAAGAAGUUCCUAGUAUGAAACUCUGUGAUGCGAACAUCACUGGUUCAAUUCCCGCUCAAAGCACCAGAUUUCAUUGAUGUAUGCACUUUUCAAGCUUUUUCAUUGACCAUGUAGCUUUAAUUGUUGUGUUGGCAAAGUGUGUCGUCUCAGCCACUAUGUUUUCUGCGGUUUUGUCUUGAACGCACCUUCAUAGCUCCGUUGUUAGAGCAGAGGACUGUAAGAAGUUCCUCAUAUCAAACGCUGUGAUGAAUAUCGCUGGUUCAACCCCCGCUCAAAGCACCAGUUUUCAUUCGUGUAUGCACUUUUCAAGCUUUUUCAUUGACCAUGUAGCUUUAAUUGUUGUGUUGGCAAAGUGUGUCGUCUCAGCCACUAUGUUUUCUGCGGUUGUGUCUACAAGCACCUUCAUAGCUCCGUUGUUAGAGCAGAGGACUGUAAGAAGUUCCUAGUAUGAAACUCUGUGAUGCGAACAUCGCUGGUUCAACUCCCGCUCAAAGCACCAGAUUUCAUUGGUGUAUGCACUUUUCAAGCUUUUUCAUUGACCAUGUAGCUUUAAUUGUUGUGUUGGCAAAGUGUAUCGUCUCAGCCACUAUGUUUUCUGCUGUUGGGUUUAUAAGCACCUUCAUAGCUCAGUUGGUAGAGCAGAGGACUGUAAGAAGUUCCUAGUAUGAAACUCUGUGAUGCGAACAUCACUGGUUCAAUUCGCGAUCAAAGCACCAGAUUUCAUUGAUGUAUGCACUUUUCAAGCUUUUUCAUUGACCAUGUAGCUUUAAUUGUUGUGUUGGCAAAGUGUGUCGUCUCAGCCACUAUGUUUUUUGCGGUUGAGUCUAUAAGCACCUUCAUAGCUCAGUUGUUAGAGCAGAGGACUGUAAGAAGUUCCUACUAUGAAACGCUGUGAUGCGAACAUCGCUGGUUCAACUCCUGCUCAAAGCACCAGAUUUCAUUGGUGUAUGCACUUUUCAAGCUUUUUCAUUGACCAUUCAGCUUAAAUACUUGUGUUGUUAAAGUGUGUCGUCUCAGCCACUAUGUUUUCUGCGGUUGUGUCAAUAAGCACCUUUAUAGCUCAGUUGGUAGAGCAGAGGACUGUAAGAAGUUCCUAGUAUGAAACGCUGUGAUGCGAACAUCGCUGGUUCAACUCCCGCCCACAGCACCAGAUUUCAUUGGUGUAUGCACUUUUCAAAAUUUUUCAUUGACCAUUAAGCUUAAAUACUUGUGUUGUUAAAGUGUGUCGUCUCAGCCACUAUGUUUUUCCGCGGUUUUGUCUAUAAGCACCUUCAUAGCUCAGUUGGUAGAGCAGAGAACUGUAAGAAGUUCCUAGUAAGAAACCCUAUGAUGCGAACAUCACUGGUUCAAUUCCCGCUCAAAGCACCAGAUUUCAUUGGUGUUUGCACUUUUCAAACUUUUUCAUUGACCAUGUAGCUUUAAUUGUUGUGUUGGCAAAGUGUGUCGUCUCAGCCACUAUGUUUUCUGCGGUUGUAUCUAUAAGUACCUUCAUAGCUCAGUUGGUAGAGCAGACGACUGUAAGAACUUUCUUUUAUGAAACGCUGUGAUGCCAACAUCACUGGUUCAACUCCAGCUCAAAGCACCAGAUUUCAUUGGUGUAUGUGCUUUUUCAUUGACCAUGUAGCUUUAAUUGUUGUGUUGGCAAAGUUUGUCGUCUCAGCCACUAUGUUUUCUGCGGUUGUGUCCAUAAGCACCUUCAUAGCUCAGUUGGCAGAGCAGAGAACUGUAAGCAGUACCCUGUAUGAAACGCUCUAAUGUGAACAUUGCUGGUUCAACUCCAGCUCAAAGCACCAGAUUUCAUUGGUGUAUGCACUUUUCAAGCUUUUUCAUUGACCAUGUAGCUUAAAUACUUGUGUUGGCAAAGUGUGUCGUCUCAGCCACUAUGUUUUCUGCGGUUGAAUCUAUAAGCACCUUCAUAGCUCAGUUGGUAGAGCAGAGGACUGUAAGAAGUUCCACGUAUGAAACGCUGUCUUGCGAACAUCGCUCCUUCAACUCCAGCUCAAAGCACCAGAUUUCAUUGGUGUAUGCACUUUUCAAGCUUUUUCAUUGACCAUGUAUCUAGAACUGUUGUGUUGGCAAAGUGUGUCGUCUCAGCCACUAUGUUUUCUGCGGUUGUGUCAAUUAUCACUUUCAAAGCUCAGUUGGUAGAGCAGAAGACUGUAAGAAGUUCCUCAUAUAAAAAGCUAUUAUGCGAACAUCGCUGGUUCAACUCCCGCUCAAAGCACCAGAUUUCAUUGGUGUAUGCACUUUUCAAGCUUUUUCAUUGACCAUGUAGCUUUAAUUGUUGUGUUGGCAAAGUGUGUCGUCUCAGCCACUAUGUUUUCUGCGGUUGAGUCUAGAAGCACCUUCAUAGCUCAGUUGGUAGAGCAGAGGACUGUAAGAAGUUCCUAGUAUGAAACUCUGUGAUGCGAACAUCGCUGGUUCAACUCCCGCUCAAAGCACCAGUUUUUAUUGGUGUUUGCACUUUUCAAGCUUUUUCAUUGACCAUGUAGCUUUAAUUGUUUUGUUGGCAAAGUGUAUCGUAUCAGCCACUAUGUUUUCUGCGGUUGAGUCUACAAGCACCUUCAUAGCUCCGUUGUUAGAGCAGAGGACUGUAAGAAGUUCCUAGUAUGAAACUCUGUGAUGCGAACAUCGCUGGUUCAACUCCCGCUCAAAGCACCAGAUUUCAUUGGUGUAUGCACUUUUCAAGCUUUUUCGUUGACCAUGUAGCUUUAAUUGUUGUGUUGGCAAAGUGUAUCGUCUCAGCCACUAUGUUUUCUGCUGUUGAGUCUAUAAGCACCUUCAUAGCUCAGUUGGUAGAGCAGAGGACUGUAAGAAGUUCCUAGUGUGAAACUCUGUGAUGCGAACAUCACUGGUUCAAUUCCCGCUCAAAGCACCAGAUUUCAUUGAUGUAUGCACUUUUCAAGCUUUUUCAUUGACCAUGUAGCUUUAAUUGUUGUGUUGGCAAAGUGUGUCGUCUCAGCCACUAUGUUUUCUGCGGUUUUGUCUUGAACGCACCUUCAUAGCUCCGUUGUUAGAGCAGAGGACUGUAAGAAGUUCCUCAUAUCAAACGCUGUGAUGAAUAUCGCUGGUUCAACCCCCGCUCAAAGCACCAGUUUUCAUUCGUGUAUGCACUUUUCAAGCUUUUUCAUUGACCAUGUAGCUUUAAUUGUUGUGUUGGCAAAGUGUGUCGUCUCAGCCACUAUGUUUUCUGCGGUUGUGUCUACAAGCACCUUCAUAGCUCCGUUGUUAGAGCAGAGGACUGUAAGAAGUUCCUAGUAUGAAACUCUGUGAUGCGAACAUCGCUGGUUCAACUCCCGCUCAAAGCACCAGAUUUCAUUGGUGUAUGCACUUUUCAAGCUUUUUCAUUGACCAUGUAGCUUUAAUUGUUGUGUUGGCAAAGUGUAUCGUCUCAGCCACUAUGUUUUCUGCUGUUGGGUUUAUAAGCACCUUCAUAGCUCAGUUGGUAGAGCAGAGGACUGUAAGAAGUUCCUAGUAUGAAACUCUGUGAUGCGAACAUCACUGGUUCAAUUCGCGAUCAAAGCACCAGAUUUCAUUGAUGUAUGCACUUUUCAAGCUUUUUCAUUGACCAUGUAGCUUUAAUUGUUGUGUUGGCAAAGUGUGUCGUCUCAGCCACUAUGUUUUUUGCGGUUGAGUCUAUAAGCACCUUCAUAGCUCAGUUGUUAGAGCAGAGGACUGUAAGAAGUUCCUACUAUGAAACGCUGUGAUGCGAACAUCGCUGGUUCAACUCCUGCUCAAAGCACCAGAUUUCAUUGGUGUAUGCACUUUUCAAGCUUUUUCAUUGACCAUGUAGCUUUAAUUGUUGUGUUGGCAAAGUGUGUCGUCUCAGCCACUAUGUUUUCUGCGGUUGUGUCUACAAGCACCUUCAUAGCUCCGUUGUUAGAGCAGAGGACUGUAAGAAGUUCCUAGUAUGAAACUCUGUGAUGCGAACAUCGCUGGUUCAACUCCCGCUCAAAGCACCAGAUUUCAUUGGUGUAUGCACUUUUCAAAAUUUUUCAUUGACCAUUAAGCUUAAAUACUUGUGUUGUUAAAGUGUGUCGUCUCAGCCACUAUGUUUUUCCGCGGUUUUGUCUAUAAGCACCUUCAUAGCUCAGUUGGUAGAGCAGAGAACUGUAAGAAGUUCCUAGUAAGAAACCCUAUGAUGCGAACAUCACUGGUUCAAUUCCCGCUCAAAGCACCAGAUUUCAUUGGUGUUUGCACUUUUCAAACUUUUUCAUUGACCAUGUAGCUUUAAUUGUUGUGUUGGCAAAGUGUGUCGUCUCAGCCACUAUGUUUUCUGCGGUUGUAUCUAUAAGCACCUUCAUAGCUCAGUUGUUAGAGCAGAGGACUGUAAGAAGUUCCUACUAUGAAACGCUGUGAUGCGAACAUCGCUGGUUCAACUCCUGCUCAAAGCACCAGAUUUCAUUGGUGUAUGCACUUUUCAAGCUUUUUCAUUGACCAUUCAGCUUAAAUACUUGUGUUGUUAAAGUGUGUCGUCUCAGCCACUAUGUUUUCUGCGGUUGUGUCAAUAAGCACCUUUAUAGCUCAGUUGGUAGAGCAGAGGACUGUAAGAAGUUCCUAGUAUGAAACUCUGUGAUGCGAACAUCGCUGGUUCAACUCCCGCCCACAGCACCAGAUUUCAUUGGUGUAUGCACUUUUCAAAAUUUUUCAUUGACCAUUAAGCUUAAAUACUUGUGUUGUUAAAGUGUGUCGUCUCAGCCACUAUGUUUUUCCGCGGUUUUGUCUAUAAGCACCUUCAUAGCUCAGUUGGUAGAGCAGAGAACUGUAAGAAGUUCCUAGUAAGAAACCCUAUGAUGCGAACAUCACUGGUUCAAUUCCCGCUCAAAGCACCAGAUUUCAUUGGUGUUUGCACUUUUCAAACUUUUUCAUUGACCAUGUAGCUUUAAUUGUUGUGUUGGCAAAGUGUGUCGUCUCAGCCACUAUGUUUUCUGCGGUUGUAUCUAUAAGUACCUUCAUAGCUCAGUUGGUAGAGCAGACGACUGUAAGAACUUUCUUUUAUGAAACGCUGUGAUGCCAACAUCACUGGUUCAACUCCAGCUCAAAGCACCAGAUUUCAUUGGUGUAUGUGCUUUUUCAUUGACCAUGUAGCUUUAAUUGUUGUGUUGGCAAAGUUUGUCGUCUCAGCCACUAUGUUUUCUGCGGUUGUGUCCAUAAGCACCUUCAUAGCUCAGUUGGCAGAGCAGAGAACUGUAAGCAGUACCCUGUAUGAAACGCUCUAAUGUGAACAUUGCUGGUUCAACUCCAGCUCAAAGCACCAGAUUUCAUUGGUGUAUGCACUUUUCAAGCUUUUUCAUUGACCAUGUAGCUUAAAUACUUGUGUUGGCAAAGUGUGUCGUCUCAGCCACUAUGUUUUCUGCGGUUGAAUCUAUAAGCACCUUCAUAGCUCAGUUGGUAGAGCAGAGGACUGUAAGAAGUUCCACGUAUGAAACGCUGUCAUGCGAACAUCGCUCCUUCAACUCCAGCUCAAAGCACCAGAUUUCAUUGGUGUAUGCACUUUUCAAGCUUUUUCAUUGACCAUGUAUCUAGAACUGUUGUGUUGGCAAAGUGUGUCGUCUCAGCCACUAUGUUUUCUGCGGUUGUGUCAAUUAUCACCUUCAUAGCUUAGUUGUUAGA